GGAUUGUGGCUCAGCGGUAGAGCAUUCACAUAGCACGUUUGAGGCCCUGGGUUCGAGCCUCAGCACCA
Molecule: transfer RNA, 68 nt
Filed under: Marmota monax (woodchuck)
Lineage: Eukaryota; Metazoa; Chordata; Mammalia; Rodentia; Sciuridae
Description: tRNA.Ala
Source: RNAcentral